GCUAUGGAGGUGAUUCAACUUCCAGAGGCUUCCUCAUAAAUUUUUGGAAUUUUUGAGACACAGAUAAACUUCGGGUGAUCGAUGUCAGCUAUUUUCCUACAUCCAGCAGCCACAAUAGUCAUCGGUGUACUGCCACAGGAGGAGUUAUUUUACAGAGCAACAUG
Hevea brasiliensis (rubber tree) is the source of this 164-nucleotide long non-coding RNA. RefSeq lists it as uncharacterized. The record is from RefSeq and is a predicted model, not a curated record. Lineage: Eukaryota; Viridiplantae; Streptophyta; Magnoliopsida; Malpighiales; Euphorbiaceae. The transcript has 3 exons.